GGAUCACAACCUGAGCCAAAGGCAGACGCUCAACCACUGAGCCACCCAGAUGGCCCAACAGAAGAAAGAACCAGACUUGAAAGCAGAAAUCUUGCUGUAGUUUACUUGGCAGCAAAACCUGAGCUGAAAUGAUGUAAGGCUGUUCCUGGUUUCCAUUGGCCCCAUUGACUGUGAAUAGACAUCCCUUUCCUGCAGCAAUAUCCGUGGAUUUGAAGACAGGCACUGCCCCAGGCCCAGCCCCAGCCAGGGAUGCUUUGUAAUAUAAUUAAAAUAUGAAAGAAGAGAGAGAUACAUUGAAGGAAAAGGAGCAAAGGUUUGCUGUUUUUGAAGAUUUCCUAGCCUCUCCAGAUGGCAAUUGAUGCUGAAAUUAAGAAAUGGCUUCUGAGCAAAGAUCAAACACAAGGCACUCUCAUAAAAGCAUAUUCCAGAAAUGAAAACACUACCAUAGCUGUUGGGAGCAGCCAUCUGCAGACGUUUACAUGGGGAGGAACCGAGGCAUUUCACCUGCAGUUACCUGAGGGAGUCUAUAAGUGAAUCAUCCAGAUCCACUCAAGGCUUCGGAUGACUGUAGCCCUAGUCCAGACCUUUACAAUGACUCCAUGAGAGGUCUCCAAACACAGCUUCCCAAGAACGGCACUCCCAAAUUAUUGACCUCUCAAACUGUGAGACAAAAUCUCUUCCCUUAAAAGAGGUGGUGUCCUCGACUUCUCCAAACAUCCUGAAGCCAAACUUCAGAAAAGAUGCCAGCCUGGGAACAAUAAUAAGUGAAAGUGAUGUUAGGUGUGAUGUACAGAAAGAAGAGAAGGUUCAGAAGUGUCCAUUCCUGGGAAACAUCCACCCAUCCACCCACCAGUCUAUAAACUCAAUUGCAGAUCACACUUGGUGGUAGUCUAAACCAUGCCUGGAACUUAGAUAAAAACUCUGGACACAAUCUCCAUUAAGCUUCCUGGUUACACGCAUCCAUGUGCUCGGACAGUAGUGUACCUUGAUUCCAUGAGGAGAGGACACAGAAGCUCCACAUUUGGCAUCCUUCCAGACCUCACCUAUGGAUCUCUUCUUCUGACUGACCCUGAUUUAUAUCCUUCAUUAUAAACUGAAUUGUAGAUAUAUAGUGCUGUCUUGAGUUCUGUGAGUCGUUCUAG
This is a long non-coding RNA of Canis lupus familiaris (dog), 1142 nucleotides long. RefSeq lists it as uncharacterized. The transcript has 7 exons. The record is from RefSeq and is a predicted model, not a curated record. NCBI's taxonomy places the organism in Eukaryota, Metazoa, Chordata, Mammalia, Carnivora, Canidae.